Molecule: long non-coding RNA, 903 nt
Organism: Pan troglodytes (chimpanzee)
Lineage: Eukaryota; Metazoa; Chordata; Mammalia; Primates; Hominidae
Exons: 5
Source: RefSeq, a predicted model, not a curated record
AGGAGCCUGGCCCCUCCUCUUCCUGUGUGGAAGCUGGGAUUCCAAUGGCAGGCAGGAAAUCCUCUAGUAGGUGAUCGUGGCCUUCCUUGGGAUCUCUGUUUCCCCCUUUUAUUCCCUUUUCACCCAGUAAAACCCUGCUUUGCUCACUCUUUAAAGCAUCUGUGAGCGUAAAUUUUUGUGGCCAUGGGACGGACAAGAACCACAUGUUUACCUGAAGUCCUGUGACAUUUUGGUGUGCAGCACGGGAGCUCCAAAAGUGAGUCAAGUGAACUUAUUUUGAACGAUUUAUGGCCUUUAAUAAUUACAUAAGGUAUAUACUCCUGUGAUCAAAAUUUGGAGCAUGUUUGUUUCUCUCUGCCUGGUUCCUCCAGAAUUUAGAACCUAUCUCCAUUUAAGACAUGUCUUUUGCCUUCUGUCAUGAUUGUGAGGCCUCCCCAGCCAAGUGCAACUACAUUCUUUCAGAUGCCAGAGGAUGCUAUAGAAAAAUGCGUGCCCUCUUGUAAUACUUUGUUCAAGUUCUGAUCAGAAGGAUGAAUGAUGGAGCCCAAGAAGCCAGAGUCUCAUUGUGUUGCUCAGGCUGGAAUCCAGUGGCAUGAUCUCGGCUCAGUGCAACCUCCGCCUCCUGGGUUCAAGCAGUUCUCCUACAUCAGCAUCAGCGUUCCGAGUAGCUGGGAUUACAGGCACCCGCCACCAUGCCUGGCUAAUGUUGGUCAGGCUGGCUCGAACUCCUGACCUCAAGAGAUCCACCUGCUUUGGCCUCCCAAAGUGCUCGGAUUACAGGCAUGAGCUGCCACACCCAGCCUCCAAAUACUUUUUUUUAAAAUCAAAAUAAUGAUUUCAAUGACUGAGAUCUGUUAUGUAUUUCAACAUAAUCAUGUUUCAUAAAGAUUUAGUCUUCUGAAA